UUAAGUCGACCGCCUGGGGAGUACGGCCGCAAGGUUAAAACUCAAAUGAAUUGACGGGGGCCCGCACAAGCGGUGGAGCAUGUGGUUUAAUUCGAUGCAACGCGAAGAACCUUACCUGGUCUUGACAUCCACGGAAGUUUUCAGAGAUGAGAAUGUGCCUUCGGGAACCGUGAGACAGGUGCUGCAUGGCUGUCGUCAGCUCGUGUUGUGAAAUGUUGGGUUAAGUCCCGCAACGAGCGCAACCCUUAUCCUUUGUUGCCAGCGGUCCGGCCGGGAACUCAAAGGAGACUGCCAGUGAUAAACUGGAGGAAGGUGGGGAUGACGUCAAGUCAUCAUGGCCCUUACGACCAGGGCUACACACGUGCUACAAUGGCGCAUACAAAGAGAA
Molecule: ribosomal RNA, 388 nt
Filed under: Escherichia coli
Lineage: Bacteria; Pseudomonadati; Pseudomonadota; Gammaproteobacteria; Enterobacterales; Enterobacteriaceae
Description: bacterial SSU rRNA
Rfam family: Bacterial small subunit ribosomal RNA
Source: RNAcentral